Molecule: ribosomal RNA, 498 nt
Filed under: uncultured bacterium
Lineage: Bacteria
Description: partial 16S ribosomal RNA
Rfam family: Bacterial small subunit ribosomal RNA
Source: RNAcentral
GACGAACGCUGGCGGCGUGCCUAAUACAUGCAAGUCGAACGAGAGCGACCGGUGCUUGCACUGGUCAAUCUAGUGGCGAACGGGUGAGUAACACGUGGGUAACCUGCCCAUCAGAGGGGGAUAACAUCCGGAAACGGAUGCUAAAACCGCAUAGGUCUUCGAGCCGCAUGGCUUGAAGAGGAAAAGAGGCGCAAGCUUCUGCUGAUGGAUGGACCCGCGGUGCAUUAGCUAGUUGGUGAGGUAACGGCUCACCAAGGCCGUGAUGCAUAGCCGACCUGAGAGGGUGAUCGGCCACAUUGGGACUGAGACACGGCCCAAACUCCUACGGGAGGCAGCAGUAGGGAAUCUUCCGCAAUGGACGCAAGUCUGACGGAGCAACGCCGCGUGAGUGAAGAAGGUGUUCGGAUCGUAAAACUCUGUUGUUAGAGAAGAACAAGUGCUAGAGUAACUGUUAGCGCCUUGACGGUAGCUAACCAGAAAGCCACGGCUAACUACGUG